This 1257-nucleotide ribosomal RNA is filed under the name Tachina minuta. RNAcentral describes it as "eukaryotic LSU rRNA". It matches the Rfam family "Eukaryotic large subunit ribosomal RNA", at positions 156 to 1219 of the family's 3401-position model. Lineage: Eukaryota; Metazoa; Arthropoda; Insecta; Diptera; Tachinidae. The record is from RNAcentral.
GAAUGUCAAAUUUCUAGUAUGAGAAAUUAACGAUUUAAGUCCUUCUUAAAUGAGGCCAUUUACCCAUAGAGGGUGCCAGGCCCGUAUAACGUUAAUGAUUACUAGAUGGCAUUUCCAAAGAGUCGUGUUGCUUGAUAGUGCAGCACUAAGUGGGUGGUAAACUCCAUCUAAAACUAAAUAUAACCAUGAGACCGAUAGUAAACAAGUACCGUGAGGGAAAGUUGAAAAGAACUCUGAAUAGAGAGUUAAAUAGUACGUGAAACUGCUUAGAGGUUAAGCCCGAUGAACCUGAAUAUCCGUUAUAGAAAAUUCAUCAUUAUGAUUUUAAUAUGUAUAAUAUUAUAAUAAUGGUGUGCAUUUUUUCUAUAAAAGGACAUUGUAAUCUAUUAACAUAAAAGUAUUUAUCAUAAGAUCAUUAGCAAGAGUUUAUUCAAAUUAUAUUGCUUGCAAUUUAACAUAGAAUAAAUGCUUUUGAUUUGAUAAAGUGUUGAUAGAUUUAUUAUAUAUAGUGCUUAAAUAUUUAAUAUUGUAUAAUAUCAUAUUGAUUAUUAAUUUUUAUGAUUAUUAUAUGCACUUAUAUGAUUAACAAUGCGAAAGAUUCAGGAUACCUUCGGGACCCGUCUUGAAACACGGACCAAGGAGUCUAACAUAUUUGCAAGUUAUUGGGAAUGAAAACCUAAUAGCGAAAUUAACAUAACUUAAAAAUAAUGGGAUUAGUUUUUAACCUAUUUUAUAGGUUAUUAAUUCAAUCCCGGGGCGUUCUAUACAGUUAUGUAUAAUGAUAUUUAUAUUAUUUAUACCUCUAACUAGAGCGUACCUUGAGCAUAUAUGCUGUGACCCGAAAGAUGGUGAACUAUACUUGAUCAGGUUGAAGUCAGGGGAAACCCUGAUGGAAGACCGAAACAGUUCUGACGUGCAAAUCGAUUGUCAGAAUUGAGUAUAGGGGCGAAAGACCAAUCGAACCAUCUAGUAGCUGGUUCCCUCCGAAGUUUCCCUCAGGAUAGCUGGUGCAUUUAAAAUUUAUGUAAAAUAAUCUUAUCUGGUAAAGCGAAUGAUUAGAGGCCUUAGGGUCGAAACGAUCUUAACCUAUUCUCAAACUUUAAAUGGGUAAGAACCUCACCUUUCUUGGUAUGAAGGUAGUGGUUGUGAUAUAAUGUGCCCAGUGGGCCACUUUUGGUAAGCAGAACUGGCGCUGUGGGAUGAACCAAACGUAAUGUUACGGUGCCCAAAUUAACAACUCAUGCAGAUACCAUGAAA